UUUCUCACUUUUCAUUAAUUCUAGGCCCACUAUUAACUUAUGCAACUCUUUAGAUCUCCCCAGUGGAGGUGGUCUUAAGUACUCUUAAUGUAUCUCUCUCUUCUUUUAUUUUUAUUUUUAUUUUUUAAAAUAGAUGAAAUAGGUUUAGCACUUCAAUAAGUACCAUUGGUGGAGAUGGUCUUAGAGCAUUUCCACUUAAGCAACCACGAAUGGGUGCUUAAAAUUAAAUGCCUAAUAUAAGUAUCAUUAAGCUAAUCAAAAUCAGUCAAUUAACACCUUUAAACAAAUAACCCUUGC
RNAcentral lists this long non-coding RNA (297 nucleotides) under Capsella rubella. Its description in RNAcentral is "long non-coding RNA (CRUB_LNC003169)". The record is from RNAcentral. Lineage: Eukaryota; Viridiplantae; Streptophyta; Magnoliopsida; Brassicales; Brassicaceae.